AUGUCAUGCUUUGGUCUCACCAAAUCAAUUUUUUAUGAUAUGAGUUCAAUGAUCAGAAGACAGCAAUGUAGUGAAAUGGAUAAAGAGAACAAAGUCUAUUGUAUUGGAUGGGAGAAACUAAGAAAGCCAAAGGAAGAUGAGGGCUUGGGAUUUAAAUACUUACACUCUUUAAAUCUAGCCAUGUUAGCUAGGAAGUUAGGGAGAACUUUACAAAAUCUUUAUUUCUCUAUAAUCAAGUCCUUUCAGCAAAAUACUUUCCAAAUAAGAAUGUGUUAUCUGUUGAACCUAAGAUUGACAUAUCUUACUGCUGGAGAAGUAUUAUAA
RNAcentral lists this ribosomal RNA (324 nucleotides) under Triticum aestivum (bread wheat). Its description in RNAcentral is "partial small subunit ribosomal RNA". The record is from RNAcentral. Lineage: Eukaryota; Viridiplantae; Streptophyta; Magnoliopsida; Poales; Poaceae.